CCUACGGGUGGCUGCAGUCGAGAAUCAUUCACAAUGGGGGAAACCCUGAUGGUGCGACGCCGCGUGGGGGAAUGAAGGUCUUCGGAUUGUAAACCCCUGUCAUGUGGGAGCAAAUUAAAAAGAUAGUACCACAAGAGGAAGAGACGGCUAACUCUGUGCCAGCAGCCGCGGUAAUACAGAGGUCACAAGCGUUGUUCGGAAUCACUGGGCGUAAAGCGUGCGUAGGCGGUUUCGUAAGUCGUGUGUGAAAGGCGGGGGCUCAACCAGCGGAUUGCACAUGAUACUGUGAGACUAGAGUAAUUGUGGGGGAGCCGGAAUGCGUGGUGUAGCAGUGAAAUGCGUAGAUAUCGAGCGGAACACUCGUGGCGAAGGCGGGUGCCUGGACAAUAACUGACGCUGAGGCACGAAGGCCAGGGGAGCGAAAGGGAUUAGAUACCCCUGUAGUC
RNAcentral lists this ribosomal RNA (446 nucleotides) under uncultured bacterium. RNAcentral's name for it is "partial 16S ribosomal RNA". It matches the Rfam family "Bacterial small subunit ribosomal RNA", at positions 338 to 795 of the family's 1533-position model. The record is from RNAcentral.